AUGCAGCCCAAAUCGGGCGGUAAAYUCCGUCCAAGGCUAAAUAUAGGCGAGAGACCGAUAGCAAACAAGUACCGCGAGGGAAAGAUGAAAAGGACUUUGAAAAGAGAUUCAAAGAGUGCUUGAAAUUGUCGGGAGGGAAGCGGAUGGGGSCCGGCGAUGCSCYUCGKUMACAUGUGGAACGKUCAAAGCCGGUCCGCCGAUUGGCUCGAGGCGCGGAUCGACGCGGAUUCGGGCGGCGGCCUAAGCCCGGGCUGUUGAUAUGCCUGUGGGGAUGUCGUCGCCCUGAUCAUGGUAGGCAGCGCGCGCCGCAGGGCGUGCUUCGGCACCUGCGCGCUCCUGGCGUCGGCCUGUGGGCUCCCCAUUCGACC
Molecule: ribosomal RNA, 368 nt
Filed under: Thesium carinatum
Lineage: Eukaryota; Viridiplantae; Streptophyta; Magnoliopsida; Santalales; Thesiaceae
Description: eukaryotic LSU rRNA
Rfam family: Eukaryotic large subunit ribosomal RNA
Source: RNAcentral